GACGAACGCUGGCGGCGUGCCUAAUACAUGCAAGUAGAACGCUGAAGGAGGAGCUUGCUUCUCUGGACGAGUUGCGAACGGGUGAGUAACGCGUAGGUAACCUGCCUGGUAGCGGGGGAUAACUAUUGGAAACGAUAGCUAAUACCGCAUAAGAGUAGAUGUCGCAUGACAUUUGCUUAAAAGGUGCAAUUGCAUCACUACCAGAUGGACCUGCGUUGUAUUAGCUAGUUGGUGAGGUAACGGCUCACCAAGGCAACGAUACAUAGCCGACCUGAGAGGGUGAUCGGCCACACUGGGACUGAGACACGGCCCAGACUCCUACGGGAGGCAGCAGUAGGGAAUCUUCGGCAAUGGACGGAAGUCUGACCGAGCAACGCCGCGUGAGUGAAGAAGGUUUUCGGAUCGUAAAGCUCUGUUGUAAGAGAAGAACGAGUGUGAGAGUGGAAAGUUCACACUGUGACGGUAUCUUACCAGAAAGGGACGGCUAACUACGUGCCAGCAGCCGCGGUAAUACGUAGGUCCCGAGCGUUGUCCGGAUUUAUUGGGCGUAAAGCGAGCGCAGGCGGUUAGAUAAGUCUGAAGUUAAAGGCUGUGGCUUAACCAUAGUACGCUUUGGAAACUGUUUAACUUGAGUGCAAGAGGGGAGAGUGGAAUUCCAUGUGUAGCGGUGAAAUGCGUAGAUAUAUGGAGGAACACCGGUGGCGAAAGCGGCUCUCUGGCUUGUAACUGACGCUGAGGCUCGAAAGCGUGGGGAGCAAACAGG
RNAcentral lists this ribosomal RNA (763 nucleotides) under uncultured Streptococcus sp. RNAcentral describes it as "bacterial SSU rRNA". It matches the Rfam family "Bacterial small subunit ribosomal RNA", at positions 28 to 776 of the family's 1533-position model. The record is from RNAcentral. Lineage: Bacteria; Bacillati; Bacillota; Bacilli; Lactobacillales; Streptococcaceae.